UUUUUUUUAAUUUGAGGGGUUCCUGUAUUCUUAGAUACUCAACUUUGUGACACCUGGAAGUAUAUUUCAGGUGUAGGUUUACUUUUCAUUUACUCCUCUUAACUGAUGGGUUAGAGCCCUUUUAUUUUAUAGAUGAGGAAGCUGAAAUUUAGAAAAGUUAAGGGGUUUGCACAGGUCACGUAAGUAGUGAGGUGUGCAGCUGGGAUUGGAAUAUAAAUAGAUUCCUUUCCAAGAGCAUUCUUUGUUAUGUAAGGGAAAGAUGGGUGGUAUUAUUGGACUAAGUACUAAAGCAGGAGUCUUGAGCUGAGUAGGUCUGAAAAUCUCAUUUAAUGGUAUUUGGCUUAAAAGGAGUAUUAAAGUUUAGUCACUUCGGUAUAGUUUUUCUUGAAGGUCAAAUUAUGAAGUGGUAAACAAUAGAACUUUCUGUGAUGAAGGAAACUUGUGUAUCCCAAGAGAUUAUUUAGAAUGGUGGCCAGUAGCCACCAAAUGAGACUAUGGAUCAUUUGACAUGCGGCCAGUACAACUAAAGAACUGAGUUUUCAAAUCCACUUAAUUAAUAUCAAUGUAAGUAGCCUCUAUUCGUUACCAUAUUGGAGAGCACAACUGUAUGCAUGUGGGUGCAGUAGACGUUUUAGGUAGUGUAACAUGGUUGCGGUUACAUGUAAAUGUCUUAUUUCUUAGGCCAAAUUUGAGUUUCAUCACGGUGACUAUGAAAAACAGUUUCUGCAUGUACUGAGCCGAAAGGACAAGACUGGAAUUGUCAACAAUCCUAACCAGUCGGUGUUUCUCUUCAUUGACAGACAGCACUUGCAGACUCCAAAAAACAAAGCUACAAUCUUCAAGUUAUGCAGCAUCUGCCUCUACCUGCCACAGGAACAGCUUACCCACUGGGCAGUUGGCACCAUUGAGGAUCACCUCCAUCCUUACAUGCCAGAAUAGAGUGCUGACCAGCAAAAUGGAGAAGAUCAGAGAGUGCAGCAGCAAUUUUUUUUUCUUACCACUUGAUUCUUUCAGAGUUUAAAGAAAAAUGGACUCAUGCACAGAACACUAUGCAUUUUGAAACUUGUUCAUCCUGGAUUUUUUUUUUUUAAUCAUUUGUAUCUCAGAACUUAAAUUAGAUGUCUUCUGCACGGACUGUGUGAAAGAAGAUGCUUUGCAUAUUUGCUGCACUGCAUCAGCAUCUUACUAAAAAUGUGAAAUGAAAGGACUGUUGUACACUGAAAUGCUUAAAUGUUUCUGAAAGCACAAGGUGAUACUCAUUUUUGAUGGUCUUUCCAUUUGUGCUGGUGUUGGCCUCUUUGACACCUGUCAUCAGUAUUUGGAGGGUGAGAAGUGAAUGUAACAGGUAUAAACAACGUUUUUAAAACUUACAGCUUUGCUAUAAUCACCGUUGUUCAGAGCAGUAUCAGAUUCAUUCUAAUGGCCAAAAGUGGUUGUUUAAAAAAGAAAAAGAAGAUACAACCAUGGGAAAGAAAUCUUUAAAAAGCAUCUCAUUGUAGGCAGUCUUGCCUCAUGUAUUACUGGGUCAUGUUUGUUUCCUGGUACUCAUAAAUGUAUGUAUUUUAUUUCCAGAUCUCUUUCCCCAAGUUGCUGUUACGAAAGAGGAUUCUGCCGAGUGUGCACACAGUUACACACGUUAAAGCAGAUCUGGAGUCUGAAGUAGCUAAGCGGCUCUGAAACAGAAAUACAUUCAUAGCUGCAGAAACCACAAUAGGUAGAGGACUGUCCUUUUGGUUUUUGUUUUUUUGGUUUUGAAAAGAAGAGAUUUUUAUUAUAAAGAAAAACAAUUCCAGUGAAUUGUGCAGAAAUACUGGUUUUUACACCAUCCUAAAGGAAAACUUAGGGGUUUUUUUGAUGUAGAAAUGUUAUUAAAGUUGGGAUCUUAAAUUGUGCGGGGAGGAAAAAAAACACCAUUGAGUGUCAAAAUUCUAAAAGCAGAACUCAUUUUGUGCAAUGAACAUAAGGAAAGACUACUGUAUAGUUUUUUUGUUUAUUUUUCUUUUAAAUGAAGAAAAGCUUUGCUUAAGGGUUGCAUACUUUUAUUGGAGUAAAUCUGAAUGAUCCUACUCCUUUGGAGUAAAACUUAGUGCUUACCGGUUUCCAAUUGUAUUUAGCUUCUGGUUGGAAUUUGAAUAAAUGAAAACCUAAAUAAAAUAGGUGAAAGUUCCCUGACUAUUCAGGUGAAUACACAAAA
This is a long non-coding RNA of Capra hircus (goat), 2194 nucleotides long. RefSeq lists it as uncharacterized. The transcript is spliced from 2 exons. The record is from RefSeq and is a predicted model, not a curated record. Lineage: Eukaryota; Metazoa; Chordata; Mammalia; Artiodactyla; Bovidae.